Molecule: transfer RNA, 77 nt
Filed under: Sulfolobales archaeon
Lineage: Archaea; Thermoproteati; Thermoproteota; Thermoprotei; Sulfolobales
Also listed under: 1 other name
Description: tRNA-Ile
Rfam family: tRNA
About the family: Transfer RNA (tRNA) molecules are approximately 80 nucleotides in length.
Source: RNAcentral
GGGCCCGUAGCUCAGCCUGGUGGAGCACCCGGCUGAUAACCGGGGGGUCGGGGGUUCAAAUCCCCCCGGGCCCACCA